CUGUGGUACUGCAUGCGGAAGUCUGGAGUGGCAGAGAAAUAUGUUAGAAUAAUACAGGACAUGUACGAGGGCAGCAGAACAGCGGUGAGGUGUGCUGUAGGUGUGACAGAUGCAGUCCCACGUCCACCAAUUUAAGGUGGACGUGGGUCUGCAUCAGGGAUCAGCCCUGAGCCCCUUCCUUUUUGCAGUGGUGAUGGAUAGGCUGACAGAUGAGGUUAGACUGGAAUCCCCGUGGACCAUGAUGUUUGCAGAUGACAUUGUGAUCUGCAGUGAAAGCAGGGAGCAGCUGGAGGAACAGUUAGAAAGAUGGAGGCAUGCACUGGAAAGAAGAGGAAUGAAGAUUAGCCGACGUAAAACAGAAUAUAUGUGCAUGAAUGAGAGGGGUGGUGGGGGAAGAGUGAGGCUACAGGGAGAAGAGAUAGCAAGGGUGCAGGACUUUAAAUACUUGGGGUCAACCGUCCAGAGCAAUGGGGAGUGUGGUCAGGAAGUGAAGAAACGGGUCCAAGCAGGUUGGAACGGGUGGAGGAAGGUGUCAGGUGUGUUAUGUGACAGAAGAGUCUCUGCCAGGAUGAAGGUCAAAGUUUAUAAAACAGUGGUGAGGCCAGCCAUGAUGUACGGAUUAGAGACAGUGGGACUGAAGAGACAACAGGAAGCAGACUUGGAGGUGGCAGAAAUGAAGAUGUUGAGGUUCGCUCUCGGAGUGACCAGGUUGACGCGCUGUGGUGACCCCUACAGGACAAGCCAAAAGGAAAAGAAGAAGACUUGUAGACUAAAAAGGAACACAGGGGCCUUACUGAAAUUCUUAGUUGAUACGGGCAUACAGUCAGCAAAGAUAUAUUUUAACUGUCGUCUGAAAAACUACAUAUAUAAAUUCCAAACCCCCCAACCUUCAGACGAAAAACCUAAUAAUGAUACAGAUCUUACGUUUGGGAAUGACAAAUUAUAGCAGGUCCUGGAUCAGUAGUUAUGCUUAACUGACUGUGUCAUUGGCAUCCCUUGGGCAAAAUAUGCUGAGGCAGAUUUUAUCAAAUGGAAGAAAGUCCUUCGAUUUCCAGACUACCCAAAACCCUUCACUUGUUAUUUACAUGAUCUCGUGUUGACACAGACACAGGUUUUUCGGGGAAAGGAAAAGUACUUAGCUGGAGAUUUUAUUCCACCCAAAUUUUUGUGACGUGUCUUGAGCACUUUUUAUGUAUUUACAUUUAGUAAUGUUUUUAAUAUCGGUCUCAAAGAUAAUGAUAAUAUGCAAAUAAUUAUGUUAGUAUAAAGUUGAUAAUGGAUAUUGGGUUGGACCAUAUUGACACUAUCCUGAUAAUGUAUAUAAUGAAAUAACGAUCGAUGCACUUACAAAAUACUGUCUAGAUAUGGUAGACAUGUUUACGUAGGAAUUGAAGUAAGUGGUAGUAGCACAAUUAACCAAAAUUAUUCUCAGACUCCUAUUAUAAUUCUUUGAAAGCUUUCCUCUGACAACAGCUUUCUGACAGAUUUCAAUCUGACCUCAGAACACAUGAUAGCUACCACCCGCAAAUAAAUACUGGGAAGUCAAUUAAAUUAGGUAUAUAUGAGGAUGUGUGUGCCCCAUAUCCUUUUUUUAGAUUGUUUUUGCAGGCACUCCAUUGGACCGGAUCCAUUCGGGUCUACCAAAGCCAGAUCUGCCGAUGGGCGUACAAAUCGUUCAGGUAUUGCACAUUGUCGACUAAUCAAUUUCAGGAAACAAGUCCAAUCAGCAAUCCUAACGCUGGCCAACGGACCCCUGCAUGACAUCAAACCCGGUGAGUACGUGCUGAUUAAGAACAUCCGACGGAAAAUGAAGUGACAUCAGCAGUGGCUGGGGCCUUUCCAAGUCCUCCUUGUGACCCACGCUGCAGUGGAAGUUGCUGAAAGAGCUACGUGGGUUCACGCGUCACACUGCAAGAAGGUCCCAGCACAUCCUAUGGUCCCGACUCCUCCGCUUCCCUCACCUUCUACGACGGAUGACCGUAAAGAGUGGACCAGGGUGCAGAAGGAGGGCAGGUGGAGGCUGAGGCUGCGACCCACCAGAGGGACAUCGCCCGAUCCAGAAGCGACCAAUCAACAAGUGGCCUGCCUAGCUUUGGAGAGUGAUAAGGCCUGGUGGAGGUCUCAACCAGGAGGUGAUCAGUGUACUCAGACCCCGAACUAAGGCCACCAAAUCCUCAAGAAGAUACACCAAGUACUCUCCUGCCUGCCUCUCUGAUCACCUUGGCUGCAGUGGUCCAGUCUUCUGGAAGCUCCUCCCGUCCACGAGAGCCUGUCUCACCUCUUCCUGAAAAGAG
Long non-coding RNA from Phyllopteryx taeniolatus (common seadragon), 2294 nucleotides. RefSeq lists it as uncharacterized. Lineage: Eukaryota; Metazoa; Chordata; Actinopteri; Syngnathiformes; Syngnathidae. The record is from RefSeq and is a predicted model, not a curated record. The transcript has 3 exons.